This 492-nucleotide ribosomal RNA is filed under the name uncultured bacterium. Its description in RNAcentral is "partial 16S ribosomal RNA". It matches the Rfam family "Bacterial small subunit ribosomal RNA", at positions 29 to 507 of the family's 1533-position model. The record is from RNAcentral.
AGUGAACGCUGGCGGUAGGCCUAACACAUGCAAGUCGAACGGCAGCACAGUAAGAGCUUGCUCUUACGGGUGGCGAGUGGCGGACGGGUGAGGAAUACAUCGGAAUCUACUUUUUCGUGGGGGAUAACGUAGGGAAACUUACGCUAAUACCGCAUACGACCUACGGGUGAAAGCAGGGGAUCUUCGGACCUUGCGCGAUUGAAUGAGCCGAUGUCGGAUUAGCUGGUUGGCGGGGUAAAGGCCCACCAAGGCGACGAUCCGUAGCUGGUCUGAGAGGAUGGUCGGCCACACUGGAACUGAGACACGGUCCAGACUCCUACGGGAGGCAGCAGUGGGGAAUAUUGGACAAUGGGCGCAAGCCUGAUCCAGCCAUACCGCGUGGGUGAAGAAGGCCUUCGGGUUGUAAAGCCCUUUUGUUGGGAAAGAAAAGCAGCAGGUUAAUACCACGCUGUUCUGACGGUACCCAAAGAAUAAGCACCGGCUAACUUCGUG